This is a long non-coding RNA of Mercenaria mercenaria, 2333 nucleotides long. RefSeq lists it as uncharacterized. The record is from RefSeq and is a predicted model, not a curated record. Lineage: Eukaryota; Metazoa; Mollusca; Bivalvia; Venerida; Veneridae. The transcript has 5 exons.
UUAGGCAUCAGAAUAGUUAGUGCAAGCAUAAUACAAAUAUAAUCGAGGAAUUUCUUAAAACGUGAAGACUUCUUUCAUACAAAUAAAGUGCAUUAUAUAUCUUUUCAAAACAUUCGUCUGUAGUUUUACAAUAUUACAUUAUACAUUGAAAUUAAACAGUUUUCAUUUGCGAAUCACAUCUGUCUAUAUUUUCACGAUUACAUGUAUAUAACAGAAUAUAGAUAUAAUAUGUAUAACUCUAAAGUAUCACGUUUGUCAGAUAAACGUCUGUUUGUUUCGUUUUUCGUUUGUUUAGUGGAAAUUCCGUCUUUCUGAUGCAUCUAUCAGUGCUUGCCAUACAUAUAAAACAUAAGUGGUUCUGAAAUUAGAAAGCAAAAUUACAUAUCUGGUUUUAAAUACUACAUGUACAUGUUUAUAGAUAUCAACAGCCAUAAAAUCACAUCUUCUAUAGAUACGAUGUAUCUUUUGAAACACGCUAAUAUUUUAAAAUUAAAUACGCGGACUUGUAUAAAGUAAAGAUUAAAGAUCAAGGUAUUUUUAUGCCUUGAACAUGUAUUUUUUUUUAAAUUGCGCUCAUGGUAGAAGUGUGAACGCCGAAAGUCGGAUAUCUAAAGCACACAUUUAAAAAUACUGAAUAUUCUUUCAAAAGUACAAAUUCUGAAAGACUUGUAUCUAGAGUAUACAUUUUAUGAAUACAUUUGUAUGCACUGAAAACAUUUUUUUUUAAUUAUUUUUUUUAUAAAUUUCCUUUCUUUCUUUUAAAUAUUCAAAUUAAAUAAACAAUAAAUGAUACAAGUUUUAAACAAAUCUGCCUCCAACAUCAGCCAGUUCUCUGCAGAGUACAAUCAUCAAUUGUCCGCAAGUGGUACCAAGUCUGCUGUUUCGCGUUGUUCACAUCGACGUCCCAUAGUUCUGUAAUAAUUUUCUGUUGUUGUUGAAUUCUAUAUGCACACAUCUCGUUGCGGAGUAGUAGAUGGCUGUGGGAUCCUGAAUUUGCUAAUCACUAAAACUGUCUAAAAUACUUCCAGUUAGUUUUAAUAUGUUAAUUCUUUACAGUUUUCAGCUAGGGCAAAAUAUAGUCUUCAUAUCAUCUUGGUAAAAUAGUCUUCAUAAUCAAUUUAUUUGCAAACUGUGUCGGGUAUUUUCAAUAAGAAUUGCACGGGGAAUAAAAGUAUAAUACACUGAUGAGAAUCUGGCAUUGUGCGAAUAUAUCUGUUGCUAAAAUAUUUCUUAUUUGCCAGGUUUCUUUGUUGUUUUCUACACAGAAUUUCAGAUUAUUUCUUUUUUCAUUUUAACAUUGUUCAUAAAUUUUGUUUUAACAAAGUUUCUUUAAUUGUAGAUGGAGAGAAAGAUUGAUAUAUCAUUAUAGCUCGGGGUUAUUUUUCGUUGAUUGUUGUAUUUUUCAUGAUUUUAUCUUUUUCACUUUGGCGUUCUACCAGGAAGUUGCUGAUAGAGUUGACUGAUAAUAAGUCCUUGAGGGCUGUUAUUGUUACGCAGUUUCUCAUUGGUCAAUAUCGUGCGUUCAACCGUGAAUUUGUCAGUCUCCUUUUGCAUAUUUGACAGAAACUUUUAGCUAACUGGCAUUGUCUUCUUGCUUGUAUUGUGUGCAGACGUGUUUUAGAAAUUUUGCUUGAAAUUUAAUUAAAGUUCCACCGUAAUACGAGCACUCAGAUAUAAUAAAAGGAUAUAACAAUGGACAGGAGGAAUGAUUACACGUAUUUAAGUUAUUAUAAGACUCGUUUGACAAAGACUGUGUAUCCAUGUCAUCCGUCUCUAUGGUCUGAUCAGAAUGCGAAGCACCUGAUUCCAUACGGGAUUCAUUAUAAAGCAUUAGAAACAUCAGAUUCAUCAUUACUGCUUGAGCUAGAAUCAUCUGGAGGUAUUACAUAGUUAACCCUUCGUCUUGGAUAACCUUUGACAGCUUUACGUUCGGGCCAUUCAGCAAUGUUAGCAAGCCUUAUCUGAUCUGCAUGCACUUGAACAACGGAGUUGUCAAGCUGGUUCUUAAUAAGGACCUCCCUAAAGGCAGAACUCGUAAAUUUGACCCUCGGUCAUGAAUUAUCUGGAGAGGACAUCCAUAUCUAGGAUAUAUCUCAUUCAAAAAAUCUGGUGGUCGUGAAAAGAAAUCAGCAAUAACAUUUGCCUUUCCUGGAAGAUACUCUAUCUUACAGUUGUAACCACUAAUAGACAAUGCCCAUAACUGAAUUUUCUUGUUUUGCAUUUCACUUUUUAAUAAAUACUGCAGCGGAGAAUGGUCGCAUUUGAUUCAGCAUUGUGUAAAAAGUAAUUUAAACGUUGCAAAGAAUAAAAGAUGGCGUACGCCUCCUUCUCAA